RNAcentral lists this ribosomal RNA (275 nucleotides) under uncultured bacterium. Its description in RNAcentral is "partial 16S ribosomal RNA". It matches the Rfam family "Bacterial small subunit ribosomal RNA", at positions 523 to 796 of the family's 1533-position model. The record is from RNAcentral.
AUACGGAGGGUGCGAGCGUUGUCCGGAAUCACUGGGCGUAAAGAGUACGUAGGCGGUUUUUUAAGUCACCUGUGAAAUUUCGGGGCUCAACCCCGAACCUGCAGGUGAGACUGGAAGACUUGAGCAUGGUAGGGGCAAGUGGAAUUCCCGGUGUAGCGGUGGAAUGCGUAGAUAUCGGGAAGAACAUCGGUGGCGAAGGCGACUUGCUGGGCCAUAUGCUGACGCUGAGGUACGAAAGCGUGGGGAGCAAACAGGAUUAGAUACCCCGGUAGUCC